UGUGAUGUAAUGGCAGCAUGUCAGACUCUGACUCUGACAACCGUGGUUCGAUUCCG
RNAcentral lists this transfer RNA (56 nucleotides) under Aurantiochytrium limacinum. It matches the Rfam family "tRNA", at positions 6 to 61 of the family's 71-position model. From Rfam's summary of the family: Transfer RNA (tRNA) molecules are approximately 80 nucleotides in length. Lineage: Eukaryota; Bigyra; Thraustochytrida; Thraustochytriidae. The record is from RNAcentral.